AUUUUAUUCUUAGUCAUUAUUGUCUUUCUUUCAGCUUAAGGAUGUCCCUUUAGCAUUUUAUGCCAGACAGAUCUGAUGGAGAGUGAGAAAACUCUCCCCGUGAUUCAUUCUCUAACUGCCUGCAACAACAAGCAGUGAAACAGAAACUCACUUCUUGUCUUCCACGUGGGAGCAGAGACACAAGUAGUUAGGCUGUCAUUUGCUGCCUCCCAAGGAAUGUUUGGAGUCAUGGUGAUCCAGGAUGAUGUCAUACUGUAAGUAUCUGGGGUCUGCCUACUCGGGGUCCAAAGUGGGAAUUUAAUCCAGUGGAUCUGGAAAAGAUGAUGAGAUAUAAGCAGAUGGAACUAAGGGACCAAAGCCUAGGGAGAGUGAUUUGGUCUGGAGAUGCAUGGUGAAGAUGGUAGAGUUUAUACAAAAGGUGGCAGUGCUAGCAGGCAGCAUGAGGUUCCUAGGGAGUGCCUAGGGAUACAGGUAAGCAAAAGACCCUGGGAUUGACCCCAUAAGCCUGGAAAACCUCCCUGAGAAGAGAAAAGAGGCUGAAAAGAAUGUGAAGAUAAGGCAUGUGAGAAAACCAGGGUAGAAACCAGGCUUCUAGAGGCAAAUGUUCAUAGUAUCAGAAAAACAAAAAAGCAUAUAUUUAUCAAUGGCUAUAAAAGGAAUCUUGAAUGUAAGUCUGACAAUAAGAGGGAGCAGCCUCUAGAUGACAAGGUGUGGGGAGGGAACAGGUAAUGUCUGAUCUAGUCAAUGCCAGUGUAAAAUGGGGUUGAAAUUAGACUGAACACAGAGGGGGAAGCAGAGUCAGAGGAAGAUUCUCUCUCUCUCUCCCUCUCCUUUCACCAAUGGCAGGGAGAAAUACUGAUUAAACAAAUAAGCUUUACUGGAGAAACAAGAUUCUGAAGUUUGGAAUGAGAGUGAAAAGGUAGAAAAUGGCCAGAGAGUCCAGGAAGAUGAGAUAUUUUUUCCAACAAUUUAUUUAUUUGAAAGGAAGAGGCAGAGAGAGAAAGAGGGAGAGAGAGAGAGAGAGAAAGAGAGAGAGAUCAAUCUUCUAUCUUUUGAUUUUCUCCCUAAAUAUCCACAAUGGUGAGAUCUGUACUAAGCCAAAACCAGGAACCUGGAAUUCCAUACAGGUCUCUCACAUGGGUAAAGGGGGCCCAAAUGUUAGGGUACCAUCCUCUGCUGCUUUCCCAGGCACAUUAGCAGGGAGCUGGAUAGGAAGUGAGGCAGCCAGGAUUCUAACUCGCACUCUGGUAUGGGAUUCCAGUGUUGAAGGCAGCAGCUUAACUCGCUGUGCCACAUACCAGUCCCAGAAGAUCAGUUCUUGAAGAGGAGGUGUUGUACCCUCUGCACUAAUACCUGAGGGGGCCAGCACUGUGGCGUAGUGGGCUAAGCCUCUGCCUGUGGUGCUGUCAUCCUACUUGGUCACCAGUUCGAGUACUGGCAGCUCCCUCUUCCAAUCCAGCUAUCCACUAUGGCCUGGGAAAGCAAUGGAAAAUUUCUCAAGUGCUUGAGCCUCUGCACCUGUUUGAGAGACGUGGAAGAAGCUCCUGACUCCUGGCUUCAGAUCAGCUCAGAUCAGCUCCCGCCAUUGCAGCCAUUUGGGGAAUGAACCAAUGGAUGAAAGACCUCUCUCUGUGUCUCUCCCUUUCUUUGUCUGCAACUCUACCUCUCAAAUAAAUAAAUAAAAUCUUUAAUAAAAUAAUACAUGAGAAGGGAUGGAGGGAGAGAGAGAAAUAAUCUAGUAUGGAUAGCAUGGAAUGUACAAGUGGUAGCCUAAUAUGUUCAGGAAAGAAGUAAUGGAAAGAUUUUACAUAAUCUGCAUAAAAAAUGGAGGGGCAGGGGUUAGUUUUGAUAUGACCAGUCAGUAGGGAGUGAGAGGAAUCAAUAUAGGAGUAACCAAGAACAAAAACAGCACAAACCAACACACAUACACACAAAGUGGGGAAAAGAGAAGUCAGUUCAAUAGUUCCAGAAGCUUCCAGGACCACUGACUAUGUUUAGACCAUUUCUUGGCACAGAAUCAGAGAAUUUUGUUCCCUCUUCCUUGGGGAACUCCCACUUAAUGAGAGAACAGCUGCAUGGACUAACUGAAAGGAAAUGAAAGUAAAAUAUUAGCAUAAUAACAUGAUGAUUUUCAACAAUGUUUAUUGUAGGAUAAGGGCAACUUGAAUUGGGGGCUGUGAAGAUUCAGGUUUCUAAUGACCACAUGGAAUUGCUUAGGUGGAAAAUCAUCAAAAAAGACAAAAUGUACUGAGGCAUCCCCAAAGCUUUGACCCAAAAGGAAGUGGGAGACCUGACUCUGCUCACAUGAUAUCAGAAAGUUUUGAUCUUUGCAGAUGUAUAUAUCUUCCCCAGCAUGUGCUAAGGCACCAGACUCUACAUCCUGGCAUGUAUGUGUUGAGAUCUACAGUUUUCAUUAAAGUGGAAUAUUCCCACCCCAUGCAUAAUCGUCAGCCUCUUCCUCUCCCAGGAAUUGCUCUGUUCUUGUCCCUUUCCUCCCUCUCUUACUGACAAGUGGUACUUGAUGGGUCAUCCUUAGUUAUCCAAUCCCUUACAAGACAGUUUGCUUCCCUGACUGCACCAACAGAAAUUCUUGGCAAGCAACUGAUAGAAUCUCCAUUUAUAGUCUUUGCCAUUAAGACCUAUUUGAAAUCUGCAAGAUUUCAAGCACAUGUUUUCAAGCACAUUUGGAUUGGGGUUUUCUGGGAUGCAGCUCUAAACAAGCCUGAUAAAUUCUCUUGUUUCUUAAUUUCUCUCUCAGUUUCUCUUAAGUGUCUACACAAGGGUAGCAUUGCUCUUGGUGGAACAUGAUAACCAGUCAAGGAAGAGAGGUAUAGGAUUAAGGGCAAGCACUGCUCCUAUAUGGAGAAAGUGUCCAACGGAGAAGUCACACCUCCAAGGGACCAUCAAGAUAGAGAUCUUUUAAGUGUUAGGAGGCACUGAGGGUAAGCCCUGCUGGUGGCUGGCUGAGGUACUGUGAGAGGAAAUGGAUGAGCUAGAAGAGUUGUGAAGAUGUAAUAAAGGCUUGCACGUGUCAUAAUGUGAACUCAAAAAAUGGGAGGUAUAUCAGCUUGGAGAGAGGUUGGCUCCCCACAAAUCUGAGAGAGACUAGGGCAUGGAAGGUGCCAUUCACCCAUGAAUGUCUCUAGAUGCGGUAGUUCUGAUUCUAAUACCGGCAUUGACAUCAGUUCAUCUUCUUGAGAUACACUAUUGUUUCAGAGCUACCUUGCCAUGAAGAUUCAUUAUCUUGUCUUAGCUCUUCUGUUCUUUGGCUUGCUGUCUAUUGCAGGAACUGUAGAUGCUCAUGAAGUCACUAGUGUCCCGGAGUGCAAAAACCAAACAUUGUGUAUUUAUCGAAAUGAAACUGGACACUGUUCUGACUCGAAGGAGGUCGAAGUUUGUGUCUUGCAUCUUAGAAAAAAAAACAAACCAACAAACCUUAAAGAAAUAGAAAAUUAGGAAGACAGGAUGACCAACUCCUUUGUCUUAUUAAUAAAAUAAAAUCUUCCUUCUCCUCUCUCUA
This is a non-coding RNA of Oryctolagus cuniculus (rabbit), 3520 nucleotides long. The record is from RefSeq and is a predicted model, not a curated record. NCBI's taxonomy places the organism in Eukaryota, Metazoa, Chordata, Mammalia, Lagomorpha, Leporidae.